AUUGCCCUAGUAACGGCGAGUGAAGCGGCAACAGCUCAAAUUUGAAAUCUGGCUUCGGCCCGAGUUGUAAUUUGUAGAGGAAGCUUUUGGUGAGGCACCUUCUGAGUCCCCUGGAACGGGGCGCCAUAGAGGGUGAGAGCCCCGUAUAGUCGGAUGCCGAUCCAAUGUAAAGCUCCUUCGACGAGUCGAGUAGUUUGGGAAUGCUGCUCAAAAUGGGAGGUAAAUUUCUUCUAAAGCUAAAUACCGGCCAGAGACCGAUAGCGCACAAGUAGAGUGAUCGAAAGAUGAAAAGCACUUUGAAAAGAGGGUUAAAUAGCACGUGAAAUUGUUGAAAGGGAAGCGUUUGUGACCAGACUUGCGCCGUUCCGAUCAUCCGGUGUUCUCACCGGUGCACUCGGGACGGCUCAGGCCAGCAUCGGUUUUGGCGGGGGGAUAAAGGUCCGGGGAACGUAGCUCCUCCGGGAGUGUUAUAGCCUCGGGCGUAAUGCCCUCGCCGGGACCGAGGUUCGCGCAUCUGCAAGGAUGCUGGCGUAAUGGUCAUCAACGACCCGUCUUGAAACACGGACCAAGGAGUCAAGGUUUUGCGCGAGUGUUUGGGUGUAAAACCCGCACGCGUAAUGAAAGUGAACGUAGGUGAGAGCUUCGGCGCAUCAUCGACCGAUCCUGAUGUAUUCGGAUGGAUUUGAGUAAGAGCGUUAAGCCUUGGACCCGAAAGAUGGUGAACUAUGCUUGGAUAGGGUGAAGCCAGAGGAAACUCUGGUGGAGGCUCGCAGCGGUUCUGACGUGCAAAUCGAUCGUCAAAUCUGAGCAUGGGGGCGAAAGACUA
Molecule: ribosomal RNA, 826 nt
Filed under: Neurospora intermedia
Lineage: Eukaryota; Fungi; Ascomycota; Sordariomycetes; Sordariales; Sordariaceae
Description: eukaryotic LSU rRNA
Rfam family: Eukaryotic large subunit ribosomal RNA
Source: RNAcentral